RNAcentral lists this long non-coding RNA (1231 nucleotides) under Salmo salar (Atlantic salmon). RNAcentral's name for it is "lncRNA (ENSSSAG00000093524.1)". Lineage: Eukaryota; Metazoa; Chordata; Actinopteri; Salmoniformes; Salmonidae. The record is from RNAcentral.
GGGAAUCGUCAACAACAAAUAAAUAGGGGGAGUGUAGCUUACGCACCACUUGCAAUUCACAAAAAUAUUUCAAGAGAUUUAUUCAUGGGUUUCUUUGCCAUAAAUCAUAUUUCAGUCGAUAACUGCCACGUUCUUCAAUCAGAAUGAAAUGUCAAGUGUAACCACACCAAAGCUGUUUACAGUGGUGUGGUUAUUACAGUUUAUACACAACAGAAGCCAGCACACUAUAAACAGGGGGCAAAGCCAACAACCAGGACACACACCGUUCUCAUACAGUAUCUCAAUCACACAAGCUAGCUGACAGCAGCGGGCCGCUCUAUAGUGACUAACGCGGACUGACUGUAAAAAUCCAGCAACUCCACAAGAAUCAUCAAAUUACAUUAUUUUGUUGCAUCGCUCUGGACCAGGGCGUAAUGUGCAGGUGCUGACACAGCUCUGAGUCAACAAGCUGCACGUAACACCCUGGAUCAGAGCUAGUUGUUGCAGUGCUUUGGCCUGAAAACGUAACAAACUAAGAGAUGGCACACUGGCGUGUAGAACACACUGGCGUGUAGAACACACUGGUGUGUAGAACACACUGGCGUGUAGAACACACUGGCAUGUCAGUGAAAAAGUAACAAUAUCUGCGCUGUGGUACAGUAUGUAUUACAAAAGUGUAUAUAACUCAAUCACUCUUCCUAACUAUUCUAAAAUCAGCUGGACGUUGUGUGGUUUUGUUAAGGAAAGAUGAGGUAGGAAGGUGGACAAAACAACCUCGCUCUCCAAAGUCUUCCCUUAGUUGGAUGUGUUACCGUGUUUAUAACUACUGACAGCCAAAGAAUCCAAGCCCACAUUGUUCAGAGACAUUGUGUAUCCUUCUCCACUCUCAAACAUAUGACAUUUAAAUCCUCAGCUCUCAACAUCAUCCCACAUCAGUAACCCCCACCCCUUACAUAUUUAACAUCAGGUAUCUUCCCAUCAAAAAGCUGAAGGACACAACUUCUUUAAUAAUAUUGGAUGUUUUGCUGUUGAUAACCACCACAGUAGCAAUAACUCGUCUUCUCAGAGAGGAGAACACCUCUCAUCAUCAGCCAAGUCAGAAACCUUUCAAUGAGUCGGCUUUAGUCAAGCGAAAACCACACAUCUGCAAUCAUGUCUUUGAUCAAAGCACAUUUCAACAGCUGAAAAAGAAAUAAAUAUCUAAUCUAUAACAUUGUGAUCCAUCCAUAUGAUAACACUGAAGGCUGUUUUA